Molecule: long non-coding RNA, 1290 nt
Organism: Drosophila virilis
Lineage: Eukaryota; Metazoa; Arthropoda; Insecta; Diptera; Drosophilidae
Source: RefSeq, a predicted model, not a curated record
AACAUGAUAAAUGCUUAAGUUGCAUUUAAUUUAUAAGUUGGAAAGUAUUUACUUUUCAACAUUAUCAAAAUAUCAAAUGCCACACAGUAAUGAAAGUCCAAGUAAAGGUGUUAUGCAUAAACACCGAUGCGAUUCUUUAACAAUGUAUAUAUCAAGAUGUAUGUAAAAUGUAGACCUGUUUAACUAAAAAAAAUUAACUUGCCAGAAUAUAUAUUAUGCUAUUUAUUCAUUUCUAGUUAAGCUACUCAUUUGUAAUUAAUGCUUAAGCUUUCAAAUAAUGUCAAAAAUGUGUAUCUCAAUUACAUGCCACAUAAGGACACACAUCCAGAGGAGUAGAGCUUGGCAAAAAGAAAUAAAAUACAACUCCGGUCUUACGCACAGCGUUAUAGCAGAUUUACACAUACUCACACAUUAAUGAAACUUAAAGAUGGCGCCGCCGGAAACAAGAGACCAAAGUUAUACCACCCACCGAUAGUUAUAACAUACGUAAAUGUAUAAGUAUAUGUAGUGCAAAGUAACUUUUUCUGAAUCCAAAAGGAAGCUGGCAAAGAGAUUAUGCCAUGUUAAGAAACAGGAUAACAUGUGAAGUAAUACGAGAGCUGGAGAGUGGGUACGAGGAACUACCACCCACAACAUGGCAAACAAAAGAUUAGUGAGGGUUGCAAUCGCUUUCGAGUGUCUUACAUUUGUCGAAAUUAAACAAUGUAAACUUUUGGUUUGCUCAACAAGCCAGCCAAGCCAAAAAGAAGCAAACUUUGUCCCCAUCUUUGAGUACAACUUGGAGCCAGUAGCUGGUGUGGGUGCGUGUGCCUCGACAGACGAAUGCGAGUACAAAUACGAGUACAAUUGUUGCUUUUGGUUUGGCGCCAGUCCGAUUCACGUUCUUGGCCGUUUCUCUGGAGCAUUUCAAUUAUGGCUGCGUUCGUGGUGAGUGGUUUGGCUUGAAGCACGACCACUUCAGGAGCCGAGUCACAUAUAAAUUUCAAGUAAUUGCUUAGCAAGUCAAAGUCCUGCUGCUGCUUGACUGCUCCCCUUCAACAAAAGUCAUCACAAAGUCGACCAACUCCUGUAAGACCUGCAAGUUGUUAUUAGGGGUUCUUGUAACUCUGAAUGCAAUCACAUGGCAAAAUGAAAAGUACUCGGGGCAGAUGGAGAUUAGCUUGUGACACUUUGACAUAAAUAUGGAAGCCGAUUUGUAUAAUUGUGAAAGGGGACGACUUAGUGGAACACAUAUUUAUGCUGUAUAUGUAAAUAUACAUAUACAAUACAGCCAAAUCAGCUUUUAUAUAA